This is a non-coding RNA of Microcebus murinus (gray mouse lemur), 7313 nucleotides long. Lineage: Eukaryota; Metazoa; Chordata; Mammalia; Primates; Cheirogaleidae. The record is from RefSeq and is a predicted model, not a curated record.
GUGUGAAGGGGGGGUCCGGGGGGCGGGUCCCUGUGCCGCUGACGUCCCGAGCAGUGCUGGGAAGUAUAGGCUGUGUUGUCACGCCGGUGUCAGUCUGAUGAAGAUUGGCAUCAGGUGAAAUCUGGAGCAGGACUCUGAAGCUUUCUGUCCUCCAUGCCGCUCACUAGAAAAGGGGCUGUGAACUGUGCUUUGGCUCUAGCUGACAGCAAGACUUUCUGGCCCAGCUGGAAGUGAGAAGAGGGGAGUGGGUCUCCUGAGGACCAUCCCAGAGGCCGCAGGGAUCACCUGAACAAUCCUCGAUGUGAAUCAAUCCCAUGAUGCAACAUGCCUCCCCAGCCCCAGCUCUGACGAUGAUGGCCACGCAGAAUGUCCCUCCCCCACCCUACCAGGACAGCCCGCAGAUGACGGCAACCGCCCAGCCACCCUCCAAGGCCCAGGCUGUCCACAUCUCGGCGCCCUCGGCUGCUGCCAGCACACCUGUGCCCAGUGCCCCCAUCGACCCCCAGGCCCAGCUGGAGGCUGACAAGCGAGCUGUUUACAGGCACCCUCUUUUCCCGCUCCUGACGCUGCUGUUUGAGAAAUGUGAACAGGCCACGCAGGGCUCUGAGUGCAUCACCUCCGCAAGCUUUGAUGUGGACAUCGAGAACUUUGUCCACCAGCAGGAGCAGGAGCACAAACCCUUCUUCAGCGAUGACCCAGAACUGGACAAUCUGGUAAAGACCCUCCACCCUCUACCCUGGCUAGAGUCUUCCUACCCUUUGAUUCCCCCCCCCAAUGCCCUACAAAUGACCCUUUCAUUAAUUCAUUCAACAAACAGUUCUGAGUGCUGACCAUGGGGCAGGUGCUAGAUGCGCCAUAUUGGAAGCCAAGAACCAUUUUUAAGUUCCUUAAACCAAGCGUUCCAUGCAGCGCAGGCUUUACUGCCAACGUUCUCCCCGUCUACACCCAGGGCGGCACAGCGUCCUACUACCCAUCUCUUGUAAUGCAGACAGGAAGACAGGACAGUUGUAGCAGCCAGCAUGUCUAGAGUAGCUGUUCUGAGGCCUGGAGUCCUGGCGUGUUAGCGAAUCUGUCUUGGGCUGCCCAGAGAGGAGCUGAUGGUUGGCGUGCUACCAUGUGGAGGAUGUAGGUAACAGACAUGUUCAAACAUGUCAAUAGAGAGAAAGACAUGACAUAGGCAUGUUGAGAAGACCAGCAGAGGACCUGCCCACUUAGGAGGACUCAGUACAGCAGGUUCCCAAACCCAGUUUGUCACCCAGAUCAUCACUACAGUUUUAUAAAAUCCAUAUUUCUGGGCCACAACACCUGGAAAUUGUGAUUUUACUGGUUUGGUGGGAGCCUGUGAAUGUACAUUUUAAAAAGUUUCCCAGGCAGUUGCAAUCCUCAAUUAGGUUAGGAGACCACUGGGUUGGAUGACAUCUGAAAUUCUCAUCUAGCCCUGGGAGUUCUGCUGAGGGAGAACAACAGAGGGGCUGCUCUGUUUGUUCGUCACCCUGGUCAUCCUGGAGUUAUUAACCCCAAUUCUAGAUUUUUCUGUGGGUGGAUUACCCAGAUUAUGCAUGGUGAAUUUGGAAGCUUGGGAAAGCUGUCCCCCUCAAAUUGAUUGAUUAUGGUGCUGACCUCUUGCAUCCGGAGUUUGGCCAGUACCUGCUCCCAAAAGGGAAACGGAAUUAGAAAAGCAAAUGUGGUCCCAAAAAGGAAGGAAGAAAAAAUGUGCACACACACCACAGGCAUCUGCAGAACAGAUGUAAGUGACUUUGGUGUUAUUUCGUGCUAUGAAUUAUCCACACCACUGCUUCUGUCAAGAGUUGAAUAUGGUACUUCAUGGAGUCCAAGGAGAGCCUGCCCUGGACUGGGAAGCCGGGCAGUGUCAUGAUGGGCUGGUGUCUAGAGAGCGGAGCAGGCCUUGGCCAGAGGAUAAGCAUUUGCCCGUUGUCAGGGGUGUUUAGUGGAGGCAUCUGAGAGUCCAAAAUCCACCUCUGCUUGUCCCUGGGCUGGGGUUCAGUAGGCCCCCUUCCUAGGAGGCUGGGCCACCAUCUCUCGAGUCCCCUGGGAAUCCCCAUGCAGGUUCUCCAGUUGGUCGAGUAUUAAGUGCAGGCUGGUCUGGCCCUGCCCUCGUCUUUGGCUGACCAGAAUCAUAGACUCCACUUGGGAAGCAGAUUCUUAGAACCCAGACCCUUGGCAGCCAGGGAGCCAGGAGAUGAGGCAGCCAUAUCUGCGGGAGCUGGAGUAGACCUGGGGGUGCCAGGGCCCACUCCCCUUACUUGACACAAAAAGGAACUGCGGCCUAACUUGGUAAGGAAAUACCUAAAAUUAGACUGAGUAAUGUGAAAGAAUUCAAACCUUCAUAAGAGGUAGGAGUCCUAGGGAAACAAACCUCAAAUGCCUUGCCCACCACCUGCCAGUGAGCUAUGGAAGACCCACUGAAGGCAGCCUCCCAUUCUAGCACAGCCUGGAAAAUUCCCAGGUGGCCAGCUCCAUGCUUUUCCACUUGCCAACACUGCCUGGGUCUCUCAGGGUUCUGUUCAUUUAAAGAAUCAGAUCUCUUGAAUCAAUCCAACAGAACUUGGCUGUCUGCCACGUGCCAGGCCUGAGCCAAGGACAUGGAUGUAGUAGAAGCCACCUUAGUGGCCCCAGACCACUGGUGUUCCCUGGCCUUCUAUCUCAGGUGACUGGGCUGGGAGUGGUCCAGCUAGUGAGCAAUCCUUGGACAUUCCAUCUACUCAGAUGGACCUGAUUUGUCUAGAUGAGUUAGUAGCCACGGUCAAUGACUAGUUGAUGAUUGAUUGAUGGAUUGAUUGAUGAUGUAAAUGGAGAGAUUUGGCAACGUGCCUAGAGAAAAAGACCUGAGCCUAGCUUCACCACUUACUCUGUGUGAGACUUGAUGACUUAACUCCACUGAAGCUCGGUUUCCUCAUCUGUAGACCUAAUGCACCUAUCUCAUGUGAUUGUAACAAUGCCUGGCAUCCAAAAAGUUAAUCCUGAAUGCAGUGUCUCUCCUGAAAGUUGUUCCAGCUUCCCAACCUCACCUCGGGACUGCCAAAGAGACUGAGUGGCCAGAACCCUGAAACUUUAUUUGGGGAGUCAAGCAGUUCCCUUUGCCACAGCCCCCCACCCUGUCCUGUGUCAGGGUUGGCGGGUGAGGGGGAGAUAAAGAGGCCAACCACAGGAGCCAUCAUUGGAACAAGAAUCAUGUAGCCAGCACAGCCGAGAUGCACAUAAUUAGAAAUUAGAAAAAGGUCAGAUCACGUCAUUAUCAGCUCAAUCAGCUGCCAAGUGCCACAGCCAGUUAAUUUGGCAUCUGUAUUUUUUACAACCCCGCACACGUAGCCCAACGGACUGUAACUCUUUAUCCGGACAGAUAUACUGCGCAGCCGAGCAGGGACAUAAAAUGAGAGACCCCAAGCAAAUGAGCUGAGAUAAUUGAGAGAUUUAUUUUUUAUAUAUAUGUGUGUCAGGGAGGCUUUCCUUUGCCCUUGAAUAUUGACUUUCAUAGGUGGGAUUGUCAGGAAGGCACUUGGGUCCCCCAAAACUUUGCCCCUUGGAAGUUCACCUCCAUUUCCAGGGCCCUGGAGCCCCACUCGGGCCCUGCCUUCUCCCAAGCCCGUGAGGCAGCAGCCUCUAACCUACCAGGGACGAAGAAUCCUCCCAUCCCAGCCAGCCACCCUCCUCUCCCCCAAGCAGAUUGCCAGGUAGCACCCUUCUCUGCACCCCACAGUCUCCCAGAGCUGCCCCAAGGAUGAGAGAGAGGGUCCCAGAUUGUAGAUUUCGGAGGGGACCUCCCUCCCUGGCUGACCAGUUGUGUCCCCAUCACCCGCACGGGUACUGGGGGCAAAAGAAAUCCCAGAACGUUAGGAGGGAAAACACAGCGCCAGGAACAGCAAGUCUUCCUCACCCGUCCCCUACCAUUCUGUAGCCGGGGACGUAAGUCUGGGCAAGGAAGUCACUUGCCAGGACCAGAGCCCAGUGUGCUGACUCCAGAAAUUGUGCUCCUUACGCUACCUCAUUCCAGCAGUCUCCUCCCCGGUGGCAACAAAAAUCCUCAUUUACAAAUAGAGUAGUGCCAUCAAAACCUCUCCCCUGGCGCCCACACUCUGACCCCUCUACCUCCCCAUUUCCGAGCGAUAAGGGUGGCUUUCCGCCCUCACGGUGGCCACGCUGGAAUGCCCCUCGCCAGCUCCCUUGGGGCAGGGUGGGCUCCGCUACUCUUCACGCCCCCCACUCCCAUUCCCACGGCCACCGGGGACUCACCAGGCCUGUUUCUCAGCUGGCCCGGGGGUCCCUCCUUGGGCCCAGCAGCCUCUGACUGGCAGUUGGUAAAGUUUGUAAAAUUUGCAAGUUCCCCAAACCCCUUUGAAAGGUAAAAGCUUUUUGUUUUAUAAAAUCUGAUUUACGGGCCCCCAGUGCAGGGCCACGGUUUUAUAUAUUAUGCAAGAUUUCAAACAGAGGCUGUAAAACGUACGGUUUCAGUUUCAUGCAUGGAAUUUUUUUAUGUGUAAAUUUUUUAACAUUUAUGGGGCACGUUUUAAUGAGACUCUGGUGUGGCUCGAGGGACAGAUUAUGGCUGCCUGACCGCAAAGCCAGCUCUAAAAUGGGGCCCCCAGGCCCCUGGGCCCACUCUGAAGAGGUAGGGCCAGAGGCCAGAGGCUGUGAAUUAGGAGGCGCAUGAAGGAGCCGGGCCAGAGCCCUGGGCCCACCGAGACCUUGGGCCAGCCCCGUUCAGAGAGGUGCUCACUCCAGCCUUCAAUCCAGACCCUCUGCCUAGAUAGCAGCAGACGACCCCACAGACACCAGGACAGGGAAGGGAAAUAAGAAUAAUCAACACUAAUAAUAAUUAACAUUUAUAGGGCACUUACCAGGUGUCAGGUACUGUUCUCAACACUUUACAUACAUUAUAUUAUUUAAUCUUCUUUCCAAACCCACAAGGCACAUAUUAUCACCCCCAUUUUAAGAUGAGGCAAUCGAGAUAAGAGGUGAAAUUGCUAACACAAGAUCACACAGCUGGUGCAUGGCCCAAGCAGGACAAACACGGCACAGGACUCAAGAUCCAGUGCUCACACUCGGAACAGUCACACCACCCUGUAACUAGUCUCUUCUUAGACCUUUUUAUGGUCCAGGUCUUGUUUUUACUGUUUCCCAGUCACAUCCCAUUUAAUCCUCUGCACAACUCUGAGGAGUCUCUAUUAUUAUCCUAUUUUACAGGUGAAGAAACUAAAGUUCAGAGAUUAUGUAAAUUGCUCAAGGUCUCACCAUAGGUGGCAGACCCUAGACUCUCAACCUCUAAAGCCCAUUGUCCUUGAGUACCUUCGCUAUUUAAUUCUCACAGUAAUCCUAUGAGGUGGCUGUUGUUAUCCCCAUUUGACAGAGGGAAAAAUCAAGGACGAGGAACCCUACAGCCAAUAAGUCACAUAGCUGGGAUUUGAACCAAGUGGAUCUAACUCCCAAAGCCUACCUUUCCCCCCCCCCAUACCACGCUGCUUCUCCAAGUUCUGAGACCAUCAGCAAGAAGCGUCAGGUUACUGACUCAAAAGUGAUUUAACUUUUCUUGCAAGAUGGUUUCCAUAAAAUGUUCAUUCGACCCCCAAUCAUCUGGCAGUUCUCCAGUCCUUGGUACUCACCUUUUUCCAUGUCCCAAUUUUUGUUCUAGCAUCUCCACUCUUGUCAGUGGUCAGGCCAAGCUGGCCUGGUCUGGAAACAUUCCUGAUUAGAUUUUAGCUUUGGCUGCCCCAGUGACCCACAGGAAAUAUCAGAGCACAUUAAAGAAUGUGUGUUUAUAAAUUCCUCGUUCUGUCAGUGAGGGAGAAUAGUUCCAGCUUCCCAAUUUGCAGAAGAGGAAGGAGAGGGUAAAAGGAAUUUACUCCCAAGGCAAGGAUCCCUCCCUAAUUCCUACGUGGAACUGAGUGGUUUACCUAAUCUCUGAGCCUCAAUUUCCUUAUCUCUAGGAGAGAGAUAAUAGUGCCUGUGUCCCUGUGGUGAUGAGACUCAAAUGAGAUAAUGGAGAGAAAGCAUUUUGUAAAUCGUAAAGUCUUAUGUGCGCAAAUGUUUUGAAAGGCAAGGGAUCAUUAUUAUCAAGUGAAGAGGCCAUGAUCCUACAAGACCGGCAACUCUUUAGAGAGGCACCUGAUGGAGGAAGGAGGGACGCAUUGGCAUGAAGGCUUGACAUUUAUUGAAUAGCCAUUAUAUGCCCCACACAUGUACAUACAAGAUCUUAUUCCAUUUUCACAACAACUCUAAAGUGUAGAUAUUAUUGUCAUCCUAAAUUUUAUGUACAAAUUCAAACCACUUGUCUAAAAUAACCAGGCAGGAAAAAAUAGACUUGAGACAUCACACCAUGUGACUUUAUAAAAAAUAAGAAACCCUGGUCUUGUGUACUUUCCUGGGACUACAGGACUUGUAUACAGUGGAUGAAACUAAAAAUGUGAGGUUGCAUCUGGUUUUGCUUUUUUGAAGGGGACUUCUUAGGAGAACAGGGAUGGAGGCUUUAUUUUGAAAGAGAAAGGAGGGAGAAAAGCUGACAGAUGAAGCACAUCCUGGGGAAAGGAAUGAAACAUACAUUUGGUGAUGAGAUAAAUUAAGUGGCAUUGUUAUUGCUCUAAAAGAUUUGGAAUAACUUUUCACAUGACCCUGAUAAUUUAGAAAAAUGGUUUCAUAAAUCACAAUUUUCUUAGAGGCAAAAAUCCAAAAUUGUAACACAUAGGAUAGAAGAUGAUUUACUAAAUACAAAUAUGGAAAGAAAAAAAAACCCUGGGAAUUAUUAUUUUUUUCACUAGCCAAAUAUAGCAGUAGAAAAGCCAAUGGGAUCUGUUGGUUUACUGCAGUUUAUAAAGCACUUCCACAUUAUCAUCUCCUGUAGCCCCUAUCAAAUCUCAUGAGUUAGGGAUAUCAUUAGCCCCAUUUUACAAACGAGGAGACUGAAGCUCAGAGAAGUCACAGAAUUUGCCCAGUGGCACCAGUUAGCAGUAGUGGGCCUGGACUCCAAGCCAGGCUGUCUCACAGUGAACCCCACAGGCUUUCUGCCCUGCAAGGCAGCUUCCCUGCAUUGCCCAUCUUUCUCUCUAAUAUUGAACAGGUUCUACAUAUUCAUUGCCUUGGAAUACCAUUAUGAUUUACUCUGCCUUUUUAAAUCUUUAAACCAAUUCUAUCAGCCCAUAAAAAAGUAAUCCUUCAGCUGUGCUUUAUUAGACCAAAGGGUAGGUCCACUUUUGGCCACUGUGCACCAGAUCUGGUUUAAACACACUGUGUGUAUAUUUCAUUUGAGCAAAGCUAUUCUGGGUAGAUUCUACUUUUUAUUUUGUUUUGUUGAUCUGUAUUUU